This 601-nucleotide ribosomal RNA is filed under the name Cautires sp. UPOL A00090. RNAcentral's name for it is "partial 16S ribosomal RNA". It matches the Rfam family "Bacterial large subunit ribosomal RNA", at positions 1827 to 2714 of the family's 2925-position model. Lineage: Eukaryota; Metazoa; Arthropoda; Insecta; Coleoptera; Lycidae. The record is from RNAcentral.
CAUGUCCUUUAGAUAUAAUUUAAGGUCUAAUCUGCUCAAUGAAAAUUAAAUAGCCGCAGUAUUUUGACUGUGCAAAGGUAGCAUAAUAAUUAGUUUCUUGAUUAGAAGCUGGAAUGAAUGAUUGGACAAGAAAAUUACUGUCUCUUUUUUAAGUUUAUUGAAUUUUAUUUUUAAGUGAAAAAGCUUAAAUUUAUAUAAAAGACGAGAAGACCCUAUAGAGUUUAAUAUUUUAAAGUAAUAAAAGUUUAGGAUAUUUUUUAUUUUUAUUUAUUUAGUUGGGGUGAUUAAAAGAUUUAAUUAAUUCUUUUAUAAUAUAAUUGAAAAUUUUCAAAAUUUAAAUCUGUAUAUAAUAAGUAUAAAAAAAAUUACCUUAGGGAUAACAGCGUAAUUUUUCUUUAAAGUUCUUAUUAAAAGGAAAGUUUGCGACCUCGAUGUUGGAUUAAAAUGAAUUUUUGGUGCAAUAACUAAAAAAUUAGGUCUGUUCGACCUUUAAAAUUUUACAUGAUCUGAGUUUAAACCGGCGUGAGCCAGGUUGGAUUCUAUCUUUAAAUAGUUAAAUAUAUUUUAGUACGAAAGGACCAGAUAUAUAUUAAAUUAAUUG